AAAGCGGGAGAGUAGGUCGCCGCCAGUU
RNAcentral lists this ribosomal RNA (28 nucleotides) under Epilithonimonas lactis. The record is from RNAcentral. Lineage: Bacteria; Pseudomonadati; Bacteroidota; Flavobacteriia; Flavobacteriales; Weeksellaceae.